This 253-nucleotide ribosomal RNA is filed under the name uncultured bacterium. RNAcentral describes it as "partial 16S ribosomal RNA". It matches the Rfam family "Bacterial small subunit ribosomal RNA", at positions 524 to 776 of the family's 1533-position model. The record is from RNAcentral.
UACGUAGGGUCCGAGCGUUGUCCGGAAUUACUGGGCGUAAAGAGCUCGUAGGUGGUUUGUCGCGUUGUUCGUGAAAACUCACAGCUUAACUGUGGGCGUGCGGGCGAUACGGGCAGACUUGAGUACUGCAGGGGAGACUGGAAUUCCUGGUGUAGCGGUGGAAUGCGCAGAUAUCAGGAGGAACACCGGUGGCGAAGGCGACUGCCUGGACGAGCAUUGACGCUGAGGUGCGAAAGCGUGGGGAGCAAACAGG